GGUGAUGUAGCUCAGUGGUAGAGCACUUGCCUAACACACACAAGGCCCUGGGUUCCGUUCCCAGCACUGCAA
This 72-nucleotide transfer RNA is filed under the name Heterocephalus glaber (naked mole-rat). It matches the Rfam family "tRNA". Rfam says of the family: Transfer RNA (tRNA) molecules are approximately 80 nucleotides in length. The record is from Rfam by way of RNAcentral. Lineage: Eukaryota; Metazoa; Chordata; Mammalia; Rodentia; Bathyergidae.